Molecule: long non-coding RNA, 1572 nt
Organism: Homo sapiens (human)
Lineage: Eukaryota; Metazoa; Chordata; Mammalia; Primates; Hominidae
Exons: 3
Source: RefSeq, a predicted model, not a curated record
UCGGAAGAGUUUUCCUAGAAUUGCUACACUCGGAGACAUGAGGCAAUGCUUACUCUGACUUUUGACGUUUUCAAGUGUACAGUUGAAAGUCAACAACAUGGGUGAAUGUGGCAACCCCUCCUUACACAAUCAGAGACAGUCACUGCCAAGCCGCUUCGUGGAUUGUCAUUAGCUUCCAAUGAGAAACAGGUGCACAAUCAAGGUCUAAAGAUAAAGAGGGUUAAGUGCAAGACAGCAGCCAUGACGUGUCGGUCCACGUACAGCCUGUCUGCCUGAGGGCUCAGUGAUCCAAAAAGACACUGCAGGUCAGCACUUCAGAGUGUUCGCAACAUCCGGGGUUACUUAACCCUGUGGCUUGACAAGCAGCAGAGAUUUGCAAACAAUGAUAGCUUCUGUGCCACUUCAGCCGAACACUGGCUCUGAAAACAGCCUCAGUAUCUGACAAGCUCUCAUUCCUGGGCUUGUGGCGUGGCUGUCCAUUGAGAGAGCCUAAGUAUAUCUUCAUGCCGAGGGGAUGGGAGCAUUUAUAUAAAUAAAUGUUUGCACUGAUUACAGCACUGCUGCCAAAGAGCUUGAUGGGCGAUGAUGAUCCGAUUUCGCCAUGGCAGCUUAUGUUUACAGAACCCGGCUCCAUUGCAGACAGGACAUCGAAUGUGUAACGCAGUAUUUAAAUGUCCACUGACAUUUACAGCUCGUGUCAGCCCAAGAGGGAAGAGGCGUUGGUGUCCCAGUCUGCCAAGGAGGGCUCCUGCUAUGGAAUGAAUGGUGUCACCCCGAAUCUCAUGUGUGGAAACCCUAAUGCCAAAGGGGAUGGUAUUUGGAGACGGAGCCUUUGGGAGAUGAUGAUGUUUACAUCAGGUCGUGAAGGUGGGAUCCUUAUGUUGGGAUUCGUGCCCUUGUAAGAAGAGACACCAGGGCACACAUGCUCCCUCGUGCUCCACCCCCCUCUCUCUCUGCCCUGCGAGACCAUCUGUAAACCAAGAAGAGGAACCUCUCAAGUACCCAACCAUGGUGCCACCUGGAUGUAAACAUUUCUGCCUCCAGUACUAUAGAGAAAUAAAUUUCUGUUAUUUAUGCCACCCCAUCUAUGGUCCAGUUAACCCUUAAACAACACAGGUUUGAAUUGCACGGGUCCACUUCUACGGGCAUUUUCUUCUACCUCUGCCACCCCGGAGCCAGCAAGACCAAUCCCUCCUGUCCGCUCUCAUCUUAGGCUACUCAAGGUGAAGACGAUAAGGAUGAAGACCUUCAUGACGAUCCACUCCCACUUCAGAAAUACUCUCCAGCUCCAGCAGCACUGAGGCAGAUCUGAGUUUCUCGAAGCUGGGCCCAUCACCAACAAGACAGUGAUGGUGAAAGCAAUGAUAGAAGAGGUCGAAUUUAGAGUAAGGAUCAGGAUGGACAGGAGAGAGCUGAACUUCAAGGAUGCGAAUUUAUUUCCACACAGGGGAGAAACACUGAUUGGAGAAAAUUUACAGUUGCUGUUUAGACACUUGAGCCUCAGGAUCGAGAAAAGGUGCACCUCUUAGAUGGGCCUUAAAUUGGAGAUGAUGAUAUCUAACCACCUGGAGA